AGUGAACGCUGGCGGUAGGCCUAACACAUGCAAGUCGAACGGCAGCACAGUAAGAGCUUGCUCUUACGGGUGGCGAGUGGCGGACGGGUGAGGAAUACAUCGGAAUCUACUUUUUCGUGGGGGAUAACGUAGGGAAACUUACGCUAAUACCGCAUACGACCUACGGGUGAAAGCAGGGGAUCUUCGGACCUUGCGCGAUUGAAUGAGCCGAUGUCGGAUUAGCUAGUUGGCGGGGUAAAGGCCCACAAAGGCGACGAUCCGUAGCUGGUCUGAGAGGAUGAUCGGCCACACUGGAACUGAGACACGGUCCAGACUCCUACGGGAGGCAGCAGUGGGGAAUAUUGGACAAUGGGCGCAAGCCUGAUCCAGCCAUACCGCGUGGGUGAAGAAGGCCUUCGGGUUGUAAAGCCCUUUUGUUGGGAAAGAAAAGCAGCAGGUUAAUACCCCGCUGUUCUGACGGUACCCAAAGAAUAAGCACCGGCUAACUUCGUG
RNAcentral lists this ribosomal RNA (492 nucleotides) under uncultured bacterium. RNAcentral describes it as "partial 16S ribosomal RNA". It matches the Rfam family "Bacterial small subunit ribosomal RNA", at positions 29 to 507 of the family's 1533-position model. The record is from RNAcentral.